RNAcentral lists this ribosomal RNA (450 nucleotides) under uncultured bacterium. Its description in RNAcentral is "partial 16S ribosomal RNA". It matches the Rfam family "Bacterial small subunit ribosomal RNA", at positions 354 to 796 of the family's 1533-position model. The record is from RNAcentral.
GUGGGGAAUAUUGCACAAUGGGGGAAACCCUGAUGCAGCCAUGCCGCGUGUGUGAAGAAGGCCUUCGGGCUGUAAAGCACUUUCAGCGAGGAGGAAAGGUCAGUAGCUAAUAUCUGCUGGCUGUGACGUUACUCGCAGAAGAAGCACCGGCUAACUCCGUGCCAGCAGCCGCGGUAAUACGGAGGGUGCAAGCGUUAAUCGGAAUUACUGGGCGUAAAGCGCACGCAGGCGGUUGGAUAAGUUAGAUGUGAAAGCCCCGGGCUCAACCUGGGAAUUGCAUUUAAAACUGUCCAGCUAGAGUCUUGUAGAGGGGGGUAGAAUUCCAGGUGUAGCGGUGAAAUGCGUAGAGAUCUGGAGGAAUACCGGUGGCGAAGGCGGCCCCCUGGACAAAGACUGACGCUCAGGUGCGAAAGCGUGGGGAGCAAACAGGAUUAGAUACCCUAGUAGUCC